UCCUGGCUCAGGAUGAACGCUAGCGACAGGCUUAACACAUGCAAGUCGAGGGGCAGCACGGGAGUAGCAAUACAACUGGUGGCGACCGGCGCACGGGUGAGUAACGCGUAUGCAACCUACCUAUCAGAGGGGAAUAACCCGGCGAAAGUCGGACUAAUACCGCAUAAAACAGGGGCACCGCAUGGUGAUAUUUGUUAAAGAAAUUCGCUGAUAGAUGGGCAUGCGUUCCAUUAGGUAGUUGGAGAGGUAACGGCUCCCCAAGGCAACGAUCAUUAGGGGUUCUGAGAGGAAGGUCCCCCCACACUGGUACUGAGACACGGACCAGACUCCUACGGGAGGCAGCAGUGAGGAAUAUUGGUCAAUGGACGAGAGUCUGAACCAGCCAAGUCGCGUGCAGGAAGAAUUGUCCUAUGGAUUGUAAACUGCUUUUGCAGGGGAAUAAAGUGCAUCACGUGUGAUGUUUUGUAUGUACUCUGCGAAUAAGGAUCGGCUAACUCCGUGCCAGCCGCCGC
This 512-nucleotide ribosomal RNA is filed under the name uncultured bacterium. Its description in RNAcentral is "bacterial SSU rRNA". It matches the Rfam family "Bacterial small subunit ribosomal RNA", at positions 17 to 518 of the family's 1533-position model. The record is from RNAcentral.